RNAcentral lists this transfer RNA (62 nucleotides) under Halobacteria archaeon. RNAcentral describes it as "tRNA-Leu". The record is from RNAcentral. Lineage: Archaea; Methanobacteriati; Methanobacteriota; Halobacteria.
AGCGGGGUGGGGUAGUCAGGAUAUCCCGACGGGCUCNNGUGGUUCAAAUCCACUCCCCGCUA